Molecule: non-coding RNA, 73 nt
Organism: Ailuropoda melanoleuca (giant panda)
Lineage: Eukaryota; Metazoa; Chordata; Mammalia; Carnivora; Ursidae
Source: Rfam
ACCUGGCCGGCUCAUUCAGUGGGGCAUGUGACUCUUGAUCUCAGGGUUGUGGGUUCGAGCCCCACGUUGGGUA